Molecule: ribosomal RNA, 252 nt
Filed under: uncultured bacterium
Lineage: Bacteria
Description: partial 16S ribosomal RNA
Rfam family: Bacterial small subunit ribosomal RNA
Source: RNAcentral
UACGUAGGGUGCAAGCGUUGUCCGGAAUUAUUGGGCGUAAAGAGCUCGUAGGCGGUCUGUCGCGUCUGCUGUGAAAACUCAGGGCUUAACCCUGAGCUUGCAGUGGGUACGGGCAGACUAGAGUGCGGUAGGGGAGACUGGAAUUCCUGGUGUAGCGGUGAAAUGCGCAGAUAUCAGGAGGAACACCGGUGGCGAAGGCGGGUCUCUGGGCAGUAACUGACGUGAGGAGCGAAAGCGUGGGGAGCGAACAGG